This 627-nucleotide ribosomal RNA is filed under the name Triticum aestivum (bread wheat). Its description in RNAcentral is "partial small subunit ribosomal RNA". The record is from RNAcentral. Lineage: Eukaryota; Viridiplantae; Streptophyta; Magnoliopsida; Poales; Poaceae.
AUGAACAUCACCCUUCUAUCCCGCUGGCUAUGGCGCAUUUCGCAAGGGCAAGGUGGCCUCUGGUUAGACAUCAUUCGGAACAAAUACCUGCGUGGGCAACCCCUCGCCUUCUGUCAGAGAUCUGGCGGCUCCCAGUUCUGGCAGUCGGUCAUCCAACUACUCCCGGUUCUUCGCAUUGGGACCUCCAUUUUAGUUGGAUCUGGGGCGGCGACUCUGUUUUGGUUCGACCGGUGGGCGGGAGACUCCCCCUUCGCCGCACGCUUCCCCGACCUCUUCUCUAUCGCCGUUGACCCUUGGAUCUCUGUUGAGAGGGUCCUUAUUAACUUAGGGCGCCUCGCCUUCCGGAGGCCAUUUGGGCCUCCGGAUUCUGCCGCUUGGCAUGAGUUGCUCGACUGCGUCGCCCUACACGAGCCUGUGGUGGACGCUGGCACGGAUCAGGUCCAGUGGCGCCUAGAGCCGUCAGGCCAAUUCUCCGCCAAAUCCCUCUACCGGGCCAUUGCCCCCUCCUCCCCCCCCCCCUCCCCUUACGGCGGUUUGGUCCAUCCGCCUGCCUCUGAAGAUUCGGAUCUUCAUGUGGCAAUGGAUUCGCGGGCGGACCCCGUCCGGGGUGGAGGUUCGCAAGCGUAA